UGUUAAGAGGGGUAGUAUGUAGUGACCCGCUCUUUUAUAUAUUUUAAAUCCAGUAAUGAGUGUUUAUUUUUGUUCAUCAGUGAAUGAAAACGGUUUUUAUCCUAAUAUGAAUUCAGCUUAUGAUCCUGAAUUUAUAUUGUUAAAGCAGUUAAUGAUAUUAUUUCAGAGUUAUAACUGACUUAGCAAAGUCACGUUAUUUAUUUAAGCGAGAUGAAAUUUGAUUUUAUUUUUACUCAGAUCGUGAAUUAUUUCCGACUCAGGAAGUUAAUUAAAUCUGCGGAUUUAAUUUAGAUAUCAGAACAACGAACGAAUUAAAUCUACGGAUUUAAUUUAGAUUCAUUUUAUAAUUUAUCGGUUUUAGUGAGAAAUCACAUGUCGAAAUACGAGAUUUAUUUAAAUAAACAGUAUCAAGCAUAUACGAGCACACGAUCCAUCUUACAGUUACAGAAUCACCGAGACAGAGAAAAUACAUCAAUAAUUCUCCUCUACAUUUUUUUUUCCUUUCUUUUUCUUCUCUUUUUCUUUCCAUUAAUUUUGUUCCCCACUCCAUCAACUCCACUACCCUAUGCUCCCCACCAUCUCCACUACCUUUGCUCCCCAUCAACUCCAACACUUCACCCAUUCCUUCCAUUUCGCACCAGCAAUCACAAAGAGAAGGAAGACUUGGCUUAACUACUUUGCCAAGAUUUCAAGCUGCUCCAGUCCAGUAGUACCCCAACACUCGAAGCUAGAGUUUAUUGGGUGAAAAACCGUGCAUGAGGUCGAGCGCAAGAAUAAGAGCUCGUCAAGGAGUCACUAAUCUGUAGCAAAGCUUUGCUAUCAGGUGGGCAUUACUUUCAUAUAUAUCAAAUGAGUUUAAAUGUUACGUUCAAGCAAGUUAUUUCAUGACUAAAUUAAUUGAAGUUAUUUCAAAUAUUGUCUUGCCAUAAAAUAUUUAAAUUUCAGUAUGAUAUCUAUCUGAUGUGACUUUUAUUAUGCAAUCGAAUUCGGGUCCUGAGCAGUUGAUAGCUAUCCUGCCAGGGCUAGUGUACACCAGUGGCCGUGAGUCAUCUAGCGGGUUGGCCGGUCAAGUGACCGUGAGAGGUGGCCACCUCUCCGGCACAUAGUUCCAGAUAUGAUAGAUUACAAGAGAACUUAGUCUGCAGACGAACUUUAAGAAUCACAAAUGAAUUUAGUAAGCUUGGGCCUUUUUAGCGAAAAACUCCCUUGCUGUACUGUUUAUGAUGGCAUGACAAUUUACAACUUUACGAAGCAUGUUAUAUUUCAUAGUAGGCAUAUGUGCCCACUGAGUACUUUUGUACUCAGCCCUGCAUAUAUUUCUAAAUGUGCAGGUUGAGCAGCUGCCGAUGGUGAUGAAGUGACGAGUGGGACUCUUUUGUCUUAUUAUGUAUUAAUGAACUCUAGGGUUACAUGUCUUCAUACAUGUAAUCAGAACCUUAUUCCGCUGCGUACUCAGAAGUUUUAUGUUAUUUUGGAUAAGUCGGAGUUAUCCGAACUUACUAGUUAUUUGAGUCUAUACGACUAAAACUCCGUUAUAUUAUAAAUAUCCCUGUUGUUAACAAUGAU
Molecule: long non-coding RNA, 1566 nt
Organism: Salvia miltiorrhiza (redroot sage)
Lineage: Eukaryota; Viridiplantae; Streptophyta; Magnoliopsida; Lamiales; Lamiaceae
Exons: 2
Source: RefSeq, a predicted model, not a curated record